GAUGAACGCUGGCGGCGUGCUUAACACAUGCAAGUCGAACGGUAACGCUCCAACGUUUUGUUGUUUGCCAGUGGCGAACGGGCGAGUAAGACGUGAGCAACCAGCCGCUUACUCGAGGAUAACAGCUGGAGACGACUGCUAAUACCGGAGCAUAACGAUGAACGCAUGAUCUGGGGGGGGAAAGAUCUUUCGGUCGGGGAUUGUCUCGCGGCCUAUCUGCUUGUUAGUGAGGGAAUGGCUCACCAAGGCGUCGACGGGUAGCCGGCCUGAGAGGGUGACCGGCCACACUGGGACUGAGACAGGGACCAGACUCGUACGGGGCGCAGCGGUGGGGAGUCUGACGCAGUGGGCGAGCGCCUAAUGCAGAAACGCCGCGUGUGGGAAGUACGCCUUCGGGUUGUAAACCUCUUAUAGCAGGGAAGAAGCGACAGUGACGGUACCUGCAGAAAAAGCGCCGGCUAACUACGUG
Molecule: ribosomal RNA, 469 nt
Filed under: uncultured bacterium
Lineage: Bacteria
Description: partial 16S ribosomal RNA
Rfam family: Bacterial small subunit ribosomal RNA
Source: RNAcentral